CCAGACUCCAUCCGCGGCCGAGGUCCUCAGCUUCCUUGGCAGAACCUUCGGCGCAGGCGCGGCACUGACACUUGCUGUCUACUUGCUCCACAAAUUGUGUUUAAAAAUGGCCUGGAAAUCCGGAGGAGCCAGCCACGCGGAGCUGGUCAACAACCUUCGCAAAAAUGGCAUCAUCAAGUCAGACAAGGUGUACGAAGUCAUGCUUGCCACAGAUCGCGGUCACUUUUCUAAAUGUAAUCCCUACAUGGACUCUCCACAGUCAAUAGGCUAUCAGGCAACUAUCAGCGCUCCACACAUGCACGCAUAUGCCCUGGAGCUCCUCCACGACCAGCUGUACGACGGCGCCAAGGCCCUGGACGUGGGGUCCGGCAGCGGGAUCCUCUCGGCCUGCUUUGCACGAAUGGUGGGCCCCACGGGGAAGGUGAUUGGAAUCGAUCACAUCAAAGAGCUGGUGGACGACUCGGUAAAUAACCUGACGAAAGACGACCCCAGUUUGAUAUCGUCGGGCCGCGUGAAGCUAAUGGUGGGAGAUGGGAGGAUGGGCCAUGAGCAAGAGGCCCCUUUCGAUGCCAUCCAUGUGGGGGCGGCAGCGCCCACCGUGCCCCAAGCACUGCUGGACCAGCUGAAGCCGGGCGGCCGCCUCAUCUUGCCGGUGGGCCCUGCCGGCGGCAACCAGAUGCUGGAGCAGUACGACAAGAUGGAGGACGGCAGCACCACCAUGAAACCCUUGAUGGGGGUGAUCUAUGUGCCUUUAACAGACAAAGAGAAGCAGUGGUCCAGGUGGAAGUGACUUCCUUCUCCCUUUCCUCCCUCCCCCCUCUCUCUCUCCUUCUCACGGCGGCAAAGGGAUGAACUCUAAAGAGGAAGACUUCACGAUGCAACUUGAACUUUAGGAGAACACUAAAGACUGAGGCUCUGUCCCCAUCGGGAUCCGUUGUUUUUCAAUGCCUCACCUCACAUACCAUAACACGUAUUUCUGUCAGCUCAUUACAGUACGACUGAUGCUACGGCCUUGAAGGGGCGGGCAGGGUGCUAUUGGAUGUUUACGAGUGGGAUGCUUACAGCUGAGCACUGGGGAGUGAAACGGAGAGAGAGGCGAAGGAGAGGUCUCUUGUUCAUCUGAUUUUUAUGCAUUCUUAUUAUUUUUUUCUUGCAUUGCUGGAAUUUUGUUUGUGUGUGUGUGAUAUAUUUUAUCAGUUAAAUUCCCCACCAUUAUCGUCAACAGGCCAUUUUGAGCGUAUACAAACCUGCACAUAGGUACAAUGCAACGGUAACCACGACGAGCUUUAGGAGGAAAGGCAUUGCCGCCGGGCCCAAGAGUCUGGCUCACUCAAUCACCCGUCCCGCUUACAGUCCAAGCGCUUGCCACCUUAGCCCAGUCUUUCGCUGUCCUUUCAACACACAGAACGCACGUUCAAAAGCAGCACAACUGGGAGCUAAGUUACGCAGCCUCGUUGGGUUGGAUGAUUCAGCACUUGUAGCACAUGGCACACUUACACUAAGAAAAUGCGUCUGAAUGCUAGCAACUGCUAUAUUACAUAAAGAUGGGAGCACUAGUUAUUCAGAGGAAAGUGCCAGAGCAGUGCUUUUCAUCUGGGGCUGAUGUUGCUUUAGGUUUUGGGUUUUUGUUGUGAGAUUUUAUUCAUCAUCCAGUGCAGGCUCUACCAGCUACUGGUGGGGAUUUGGGCCGUCGCUGCUUUGCCAAAUUAAACAAUAUAGGCCUACAGCAAAUGUCUGAUUUCUUUUGUCGUGCAAAGCUUUGAGAAAGGGAUUAAAGAAAGCACGUUUGUAGUGUGGUGUGACAGUUGAGGAUGCAGCACUUUCAAACUUCCUGGAAUGAUAUGUGACAAUAAAAAGAUGCUGGUGA
Molecule: RNA transcript, 1867 nt
Organism: Gadus macrocephalus (Pacific cod)
Lineage: Eukaryota; Metazoa; Chordata; Actinopteri; Gadiformes; Gadidae
Gene: pcmt1
Gene name: protein-L-isoaspartate (D-aspartate) O-methyltransferase
Exons: 8
Source: RefSeq, a predicted model, not a curated record